CGAGGUGUCGGGAAGCUCAAUAACUGAUUUGGGAUCAGAGGGUCGAAGGUUCGAAUCCUUUCGCUCCGACCA
RNAcentral lists this transfer RNA (72 nucleotides) under Paraburkholderia xenovorans LB400. Its description in RNAcentral is "tRNA-Pro-TGG-2-1". Lineage: Bacteria; Pseudomonadati; Pseudomonadota; Betaproteobacteria; Burkholderiales; Burkholderiaceae. The record is from RNAcentral.